Molecule: non-coding RNA, 73 nt
Organism: Bos taurus (domestic cattle)
Lineage: Eukaryota; Metazoa; Chordata; Mammalia; Artiodactyla; Bovidae
Source: Rfam
UCUCUGGUGGCUCAGAUGGUAAAGUAUCUGCUUGCAAUGCAGAAGACCCAAGGUUCCAUCCCUGGAUUGGGAA